RNAcentral lists this ribosomal RNA (370 nucleotides) under uncultured organism. Its description in RNAcentral is "bacterial SSU rRNA". It matches the Rfam family "Bacterial small subunit ribosomal RNA", at positions 526 to 896 of the family's 1533-position model. The record is from RNAcentral.
CGUAGGGUGCGAGCGUUAAUCGGAAUUACUGGGCGUAAAGCGUGCGCAGGCGGUGAUGUAAGACAGGUGUGAAAUCCCCGGGCUUAACCUGGGAACUGCAUUUGUGACUGCAUCGCUGGAGUGCGGCAGAGGGGGAUGGAAUUCCGCGUGUAGCAGUGAAAUGCGUAGAUAUGCGGAGGAACACCGAUGGCGAAGGCAAUCCCCUGGGCCUGCACUGACGCUCAUGCACGAAAGCGUGGGGAGCAAACAGGAUUAGAUACCCUGGUAGUCCACGCCCUAAACGAUGUCAACUGGUUGUUGGGUCUUCACUGACUCAGUAACGAAGCUAACGCGUGAAGUUGACCGCCUGGGGAGUACGGCCGCAAGGUUG